This 460-nucleotide ribosomal RNA is filed under the name uncultured bacterium. RNAcentral describes it as "partial 16S ribosomal RNA". It matches the Rfam family "Bacterial small subunit ribosomal RNA", at positions 338 to 795 of the family's 1533-position model. The record is from RNAcentral.
CCUACGGGUGGCAGCAGUGAGGAAUAUUGGUCAAUGGCCGGAAGGCUGAACCAGCCAUGCCGCGUGAAGGUCAGUGCCCUAUGGGCGUUAAACUUCUUUUUUUCGGGGGCUAUAAUGGCCACGUGUGGCCACACUAGAGUACCGUACGAAUAAGCAUCGGCUAACUCCGUGCCAGCAGCCGGGGUAAUACGGGGGAUGCAAGCGUUAUCCGGAUUUUUUGGGUUUAAAGGGUGCGUAGGCUGUGAGGUAAGUCAGCGGUGAAAUGCCCCCGCUCAACGGGGUGAAGUGCCAUUGAUACUGCCUUGCUGGAAUGCGGAUGCCGUGGGAGGAAUGUGUGGUGUAGCGGUGAAAUGCAUAGAGAUGACACAGAACACCGAUUGCGAAGGCAUCUCACGAAUCCGCGAUUGACGCUGAUGCACGAAAGCGUGGGUAUCAAACAGGAUUAGAUACCCGGGUAGUC